Molecule: long non-coding RNA, 2100 nt
Organism: Anolis carolinensis (green anole)
Lineage: Eukaryota; Metazoa; Chordata; Lepidosauria; Squamata; Anolidae
Source: Ensembl
CAACCUUUAAGUAUUUCCAGACCCUUCCCCUUCUCUUUGUUUCUAGCAUUUUAUUUUGCACCAGUACUAUAAAUGCAGAACACACAUUUGUACAUCUUUGUACUGAGUUAGCAAGUCCUGGGGUUUAGAUGGGAAUAGAUGGAGAUAGGUGCCUGGGAUUUAAAAUCAUCUCACACCUCCAGCAACUCUCACCCUGAGAUACAUUUGUCUCUCUAGAAAUGUAGCAGUUCCCUGAAAUUUCAGCUAGUACAUUGAGGCAUGACACCUUGUAUUGUGCACUAAGUUGCAUUUCUGUUAGUUUUGGCCCAUCUUGACAGACUAGAGAGAUGGGCCAAAACUAACAAAAUGAAGUUCAACAGGGACAAAUGCAAGAUACUUCACUUCGGCAGAAAAAAUGGAAAUCAAAGAUACAGAAUGGGGGACGCCUGGCUUGACAGCAGUGUGUGCGAAAAAGACCUUGGAGUCCUUGUGGACAACAAGUUAAACAUGAGCCAACAAUGUGAUGCGGCUGCUAAAAAAGCCAACGGGAUUCUGGCCUGCAUCAAUAGGGGAAUAGCGUCUAGAUCCAGGGAAGUUAUGCUCCCCCUCUAUUCUGCCUUGGUCAGACCACACCUGGAAUACUGUGUCCAAUUUUGGGCACCACAGUUGAAGGGAGAUGUUGACAAGCUGGAAAGCGUCCAGAGGAGGGCGACUAAAAUGUUGCUCCCUCCUCCCUAUGACUUCCCUUCACGUAUUUGUACAUGGAUUUUGUGCCAAGAACCAAUGACCAGAAGUUAUGGCUACACAAGCCCUAUGAGGAGCGGCUUAAAGAGCUUGGCAUGUUUAGCCUGCAGAAGAGAAGGCUGAGAGGAGACAUGAUAGCCAUGUACAAAUACGUGAAGGGAAGUCAUAGGGAGGAGGGAGCAAGCCUAUUUUCUGCUGCCCUGCAGACUAGGACACGGAACAAUGGCUUCAAACUACAGGAAAGGAGAUUCCACCUGAACAUCAGGAAGAACUUCCUCACUGUGAGGGCUGUUCGACAGUGGAACUCUCUCCCCCGGGCUGUGGUGGAGGCUCCUUCCUUGGAGGCUUUUAAGCAGAGGCUGGAUGGCCAUCUGUCGGGGGUGCUUUGAAUGCGAUUUCCUGCUUCUUGGCAGGGGGUUGGACUGGAUGGCCCAUGAGGUCUCUUCCAACUCUACUAUUCUAUGAUUCUAUGAUUCUUAAACAACAGUCUCAGGCUACAUUCUGUCAUAUAGACCUUGCAUAAGGAUUACCUUACAAUGUAUUAUAUACUGUUCAUAUAUGCUUUGUUGCUUUCUCUGCUGACUCUGAUGUUCUAUGAAAUACUGGGGCUUAAAACAAACUUUAUUUAUAUUGGCCUGUGAUGUGAAUAGGUUGGAGUCAGUGCUGAUGUUUGGUAGAAACUUUGGCCAAAAUUAUUGUCUGUUGUUUGCCCUCCUGCUCAGUUUCAGGGCUCAUCUUAGCCUCCAGUACCAACUGAAGGAUGCUGUUAGGUAGAUGUUUCAGCCCUGUCUAAAGUAGCAUAAGCUUUCUUUGGCCAAGGACAUUAUUACACAAGGCUUGCAAACUGGCAGCAGGAUGACCUUAAUGAUUGCUGGUAGCUAUCACAUGAUGUUGUGCGCAUCCUGAUGCAGAUUUUCCUUCCUUCACAAAAGUAGCACAUCUCUGUGUUGAUGGAUAAAACCUGUGACUAUGUCUUGAUAGAAUGUGUGACUGUAGAUCACCAAACCAACACCAUAGCGCUACUGUGGAAAUGUGAGAUAAUGAACAUACUUAUCCUGGAAUGUUUCCAUUCCCCUAACUAAUGUGAUUUUGGUGAGAUAGAAGGCUGAUCCUAAAUCUAAGUAGUUUAUAAAAGCUUAUGCUACCAACUUUUUUUUCUUUCAGUUAAUCUCUGCUACAAAAUGCUUCUUAGCUUCUAAGGUACUAUAACAUCCCAUAGAAAUAAUGUUUGGAAAAACAUAUAGAAUACUUCAAUUACUGGGAGACAUCUCUAAUAUGUCAAUUGUAGCUAUAUCUUAGGAUGAAGCACACAAACACAUUUUUAUUCCUGCUUCCAGUCAACUUCGAACAAGACAUUUGUUCAGGAUUCUGCCCGAA